Molecule: ribosomal RNA, 450 nt
Filed under: uncultured Glomus
Lineage: Eukaryota; Fungi; Glomeromycota; Glomeromycetes; Glomerales; Glomeraceae
Description: SSU rRNA
Rfam family: Eukaryotic small subunit ribosomal RNA
Source: RNAcentral
AGCAGCCGCGGUAAUUCCAGCUCCAAUAGCGUAUAUUAAAGUUGUUGCAGUUAAAAAGCUCGUAGUUGAAUUUCGAGACCGGUUUACUGGUCGUGCUUUUGUACGUUCUGGUAUAAUCGGUUUCUCUUUUCUGACGAACUAUAAUGCCAUUAAUUUGGUGUUAUAGGGAAUCAGGACUGUUACUUUGAAAAAUUAGAGUGUUUAAAGCAGGCUCACGCUUGAAUACAUUAGCAUGGAAUAACGAAAUAGGACGUUUGAUUUUAUUUUGUUGGUUUCUAGGAUCGACGUAAUGAUUAAUAGGGAUAGUUGGGGGCAUUAGUAUUCAAUUGUCAGAGGUGAAAUUCUUGGAUUUAUUGAAGACUAACUACUGCGAAAGCAUUUGCCAAGGAUGUUUUCAUUAAUCAAGAGCGAAAGUUAGGGGAUCGAAGACGAUCAGAUACCGUCGUAGUC